UGAGCAACCUGCCCUUGACUCUGGGAUAACCCCGGGAAACCGGAGCUAAUACCGGAUACGAACCACCCAGGCAUCUAGGUGGUUGGAAAGAACUUCGGUCAAGGAUGGGCUCGCGGCCUAUCAGCUUGUUGGUGAGGUAACGGCCCACCAAGGCGACGACGGGUAGCCGGCCUGAGAGGGCGACCGGCCACACUGGGACUGAGACACGGCCCAGACUCCUACGGGAGCAGC
RNAcentral lists this ribosomal RNA (231 nucleotides) under uncultured bacterium. RNAcentral describes it as "partial 16S ribosomal RNA". It matches the Rfam family "Bacterial small subunit ribosomal RNA", at positions 118 to 347 of the family's 1533-position model. The record is from RNAcentral.